RNAcentral lists this ribosomal RNA (253 nucleotides) under uncultured bacterium. RNAcentral describes it as "partial 16S ribosomal RNA". It matches the Rfam family "Bacterial small subunit ribosomal RNA", at positions 524 to 776 of the family's 1533-position model. The record is from RNAcentral.
UACGUAGGGGCCGAGCGUUGUCCGGAGUUAUUGGGCGUAAAGCGCGCGCAGGCGGCCUCGCGCGCCCGACGUGAAAGCCCCCGGCUUAACCGGGGAGGGUCGUUGGGGACGGCGGGGCUCGAGGCUGGUAGAGGGCGGUGGAAUUCCGGGUGUAGUGGUGGAAUGCGUAGAGCUCCGGAGGAACACCAGUGGCGAAGGCGGCCGCCUGGGCCAGUCCUGACGCUGAGCCGCGAAAGCGUGGGGAGCGAUCCGG